CCCCUUGGGAGGUUCUCAAAGAAGGACGUGAACCGAUGAGGUGGAAACGGAUAGAGCCAGCGUAUCUGGCCUGUAUUCAACUGCAUUGUUGUGAGCAGUUGGGCGCUGCAUCUCCAGAUUGGGACAGUCCUAGCUUGCAAGCAACAAUGUUGUGCAUUUGCAGGUCGAGUGCGCCGAGACUUUCGAGAAGGCGAUAUGAGCUCAAUUUUGAGGCCAGCUUGCUGGUACCCGGAUUGGAGGAAUGUUGUUCGUUUUGGAUGUGAAUGGGGGAAAGGUUUUCUGGCUCCACGGACUACGGAUUGUGACGGGUGGGCGAGUUAACGGGCGAUUAAACCCCUAAGGCUCAAGGAAGCUGACUGGUGGGAUCCCCUAGUGGGUUGCACCACCGACCGACCUUGACCAUCCGACAAGGGUUCGAGUGCGAGCAUGCCUGUCGGGACCCAAAUCAUUGGGAACUAAAACUGAGCGGGGCCAAUCCAGAUAAAACUCCGGCGGAGGCCCGAAGCGUUACUGAAGUGAACAUCAUUGGCCGGACUAGCGUAUCCCCAUUCUAGACUCUUCCAACCGGCUAGAAGAAGAUUCCAUCCGAUGAAACCCCAAAGAUGGUGAACUAUUCCUGAGCAGGAUGAACCCCGAGGAAACUCUGGUGGAAGUCCAAACCGAUUCUAACGUGCAAAUCGAUCGUCUGACUUGGGUAUAGGGCCGAAAAACUAAUCCAACCAUCUAUUACCUGUUUCCUUCCAAAAGGGGGG
This 752-nucleotide ribosomal RNA is filed under the name Pratylenchus sp. 2 DTN-2018. Its description in RNAcentral is "partial 28S ribosomal RNA". The stretch from base 292 to 752 matches the Rfam family "Eukaryotic large subunit ribosomal RNA", at positions 665 to 1389 of the family's 3401-position model. Lineage: Eukaryota; Metazoa; Nematoda; Chromadorea; Rhabditida; Pratylenchidae. The record is from RNAcentral.